GCGAAUCGCCCUUCGGGGUGCAGCAGGCGCGAAAACUUUGCAAUGCGGGAAACCGUGACAAGGGAACUCUGAGUGCCCGUUAAAUCGGGCUGUCCAUCGGUUUAAACAACCGGUGAAGAAAGGGCCGGGCAAGACCGGUGCCAGCCGCCGCGGUAAUACCGGCGGCUCGAGUGGUGGCCACUAUUACUGGGCUUAAAGCGUUCGUAGCUGGUUUGUUAAGUCUCUGGGGAAAUCUUCCGGCUCAACCGGAAGGCGUCUCAGGGAUACUGGCAGACUAGGGACCGGGAGAGGUGAGAGGUACUCCAGGGGUAGGAGUGAAAUCCUGUAAUCCUUGGGGGACCACCUGUGGCGAAGGCGUCUCACCAGAACGGCUCCGACAGUGAGGGACGAAAGCUGGGGGAGCAAACCGGAUUAGAUACCCGGGUAGUCCCAGCUGUAAACGAUGCGCGUUAGGUGUAUCGGUGACCACGAGUCACCGAGGUGCCGAAGAGAAAUCGUGAAACGUGCCGCCUGGGAAGUACGGUCGCAAGGCUGAAACUUAAAGGAAUUGGCGGGGGAGCAC
RNAcentral lists this ribosomal RNA (562 nucleotides) under uncultured archaeon. RNAcentral describes it as "bacterial SSU rRNA". It matches the Rfam family "Archaeal small subunit ribosomal RNA", at positions 313 to 879 of the family's 1478-position model. The record is from RNAcentral.